RNAcentral lists this ribosomal RNA (252 nucleotides) under uncultured bacterium. Its description in RNAcentral is "partial 16S ribosomal RNA". It matches the Rfam family "Bacterial small subunit ribosomal RNA", at positions 793 to 1055 of the family's 1533-position model. The record is from RNAcentral.
GUCCACGCCGUAAACGAUGGAUACUAGCUGUUCGGAGCAAUUCUGAGUGGCUAAGCGAAGUGAUAAGUAUCCCACCUGGGAGUACGUUCGCAAGAAUGAAACUCAAAGGAAUUGAUGGGGCCCGCACAAGCGGUGGAGCAUGUGGUUUAAUUCGAUGAUACGCGAGGAACCUUACCAGGGCUUAAAUGUAGUCUGACAGGCUUGGAAACAGGUUUUCUUCGGACAGAUUACAAGGUGCUGCAUGGUUGUCGU